UUGACGGUACUCUACGAAUAAGGAUCGGCUAACUCCGUGCCAGCAGCGCGGUAAUACGGAGGANCCAAGCGUUAUCCGGAAUCAUUGGGUUUAAAGGGUCCGUAGGCGGGUUUGUAAGUCAGUGGUGAAAGUUUUCGGCUCAACCGGAAAAUUGCCAUUGAUACUGCAAGUCUUGAAUCAUUAUGAAGUGGUUAGAAUGUGUAGUGUAGCGGUGAAAUGCAUAGAUAUUACACAGAAUACCGAUUGCGAAGGCAGAUCACUAAUAAUGUAUUGACGCUAAGGGACGAAAGCGUGGGUAGCGAACAGGAUUAGAUACCCUGGUAGUCCACGCCGUAAACGAUGGUUACUAGCUGUUCGGACUUCGGUCUGAGUGGCUAAGCGAAAGUGAUAAGUAACCCACCUGGGGAGUACGUUCGCAAGAAUGAAACUCAAAGGAAUUGACGGGGGCCCGCACAAGCGGUGGAGCAUGUGGUUUAAUUCGAUGAUACGCGAGGAACCUUACCAGGGCUUAAAUGUAGAUUGACAGGUUUAGAGAUAGACUUUCCUUCGGGCAAUUUACAAGGUGCUGCAUGGUUGUCGUCAGCUCGUGCCGUGAGGUGUCAGGUUAAGUCCUAUAACGAGCGCAACCCCUGUUGUUAGUUGCCAGCGAGUCAUGUCGGGAACUCUAACAAGACUGCCGGUGCAAACCGCGAGGAAGGUGGGGAUGACGUCAAAUCAUCACGGCCCUUACGUCCUGGGCCACACACGUGCUACAAUGGUAGGUACAGAGAGCAGCCACUGGGUGACCAGGAGCGAAUCUAUAAAGCCUAUCACAGUUCGGAUCGGAGUCUGCAACUCGNCUCCGUGAAGCUGGAAUCGCUAGUAAUCGGAUAUCAGCCA
This 879-nucleotide ribosomal RNA is filed under the name bacterium DA34. Its description in RNAcentral is "bacterial SSU rRNA". It matches the Rfam family "Bacterial small subunit ribosomal RNA", at positions 469 to 1354 of the family's 1533-position model. The record is from RNAcentral.